CUGGGUAGAUGGCAAGUAGCCACGACAAUUGCACUCGAGCGACUGCCGUUGGUCUAAAUUAUCCAACAUAACUACUGCAUUUGACGUGUGAAACGUAUAUGUAUUUGUUUGAUAACAAUAAUGAUGAACUCCAUGUAGGAGCGUGAUCCGACCGUUGCUUUACAUGUUCUUGUCUUGACCGGCACGCAAGCUAUUGUUCAUGCAUGCUUCUUCAUUAGAGGAAGCCUGUUUGCCAUUACUGCAUGGUGGGAAAGACAGGAUCAUGAUGCUUCGAACAACUUGUAAUAGCCUUGAAGAUGCAAUCAUGUGAAUUUGUUAGUGUUCCCAUAUGAUGACGUAUG
RNAcentral lists this long non-coding RNA (341 nucleotides) under Eucalyptus grandis. RNAcentral's name for it is "long non-coding RNA (EGRA_LNC007502)". The record is from RNAcentral. Lineage: Eukaryota; Viridiplantae; Streptophyta; Magnoliopsida; Myrtales; Myrtaceae.